This 439-nucleotide ribosomal RNA is filed under the name uncultured bacterium. RNAcentral's name for it is "bacterial SSU rRNA". It matches the Rfam family "Bacterial small subunit ribosomal RNA", at positions 28 to 449 of the family's 1533-position model. The record is from RNAcentral.
GAUGAACGCUGGCGGCGUGCUUAACACAUGCAAGUCGAACGAAGCACUUUGGACAGAUUCUUCGGAUGAAAUCCUUAGUGACUGAGUGGCGGACGGGUGAGUAACGCGUGGGUAACCUGCCUCAUACAGGGGGAUAACAGUUAGAAAUGGCUGCUAAUACCGCAUAAGCGCACGGUACUGCAUGGUACAGUGUGAAAAACUCCGGUGGUAUGAGAUGGACCCGCGUUGGAUUAGCUAGUUGGCAGGGUAACGGCCUACCAAGGCGACGAUCCAUAGCCGGCCUGAGAGGGUGGACGGCCACAUUGGGACUGAGACACGGCCCAGACUCCUACGGGAGGCAGCAGUGGGGAAUAUUGCACAAUGGGGGAAACCCUGAUGCAGCGACGCCGCGUGAGCGAAGAAGUAUUUCGGUAUGUAAAGCUCUAUCAGCAGGGAAGAA